This 497-nucleotide ribosomal RNA is filed under the name uncultured bacterium. RNAcentral's name for it is "partial 16S ribosomal RNA". It matches the Rfam family "Bacterial small subunit ribosomal RNA", at positions 28 to 507 of the family's 1533-position model. The record is from RNAcentral.
GAUGAACGCUGGCGGCGUGCCUAAUACAUGCAAGUCGAGCGAACAGACGAGGAGCUUGCUCCUCUGACGUUAGCGGCGGACGGGUGAGUAACACGUGGAUAACCUACCUAUAAGACUGGGAUAACUUCGGGAAACCGGAGCUAAUACCGGAUAAUAUAUUGAACCGCAUGGUUCAAUAGUGAAAGACGGUGUUGCUGUCACUUAUAGAUGGAUCCGCGCCGCAUUAGCUAGUUGGUAAGGUAACGGCUUACCAAGGCAACGAUGCGUAGCCGAGCUGAGAGGGUGAUCGCCCACACUGGAACUGAGACACGGUCCAGACUCCUACGGGAGGCAGCAGUAGGGAAUCUUCCGCAAUGGGGGAAAGCCUGACGGAGCAACGCCGCGUGAGUGAUGAAGGUCUUCGGAUCGUAAAACUCUGUUAUUAGUGAAGAACAAAUGUGUAAGUAACUAUGCACGUCUUGACGGUACCUAAUCAGAAAGCCACGGCUAACUACGUG